Molecule: long non-coding RNA, 3137 nt
Organism: Rattus norvegicus (Norway rat)
Lineage: Eukaryota; Metazoa; Chordata; Mammalia; Rodentia; Muridae
Source: Ensembl
AGCCAGACUACCUUCGUACACAAUUACUCAAUCCACCGUAAGGCUCUUUAAUAAGAAACAAGUGUGACAACGGCAAGGCUCUUUUCCCCCUUUCUCUCUCUUUCUCUCCUCCUCCUCCUCCCUCCCUCUUAAACCACAGAGUCAAAUAGCUCUAAUAGAGAUGAAGCUUGAUAGAUCCGCCCAGGUGUAGGUGAAAUGGUAGAGCCUCAGGGGUAAUAGAUGCUGUGCUUGCUUGCUGGAGUUUAGUGUUCUGUCCUGACCGGCUCUCCAGAGCUACGCUGACACCGGCUGCUCCUUGUACAGUUACAAAGUCAACAUGCUUCUUGCUGCUCACGUCUGUGCCUAACCCAGAGGGCAACCUGGAGCUAGGUAGGAGCCACAGAUCAGCCCUCGGACUCCAGCUCAAGGACAAAGGACCACAGAUGCAGUAAGUGGAAAUUUUACCUUUCCUUCUUUUACUUGGGAAUUAAUUAAGGCUGUUUACUCUCAGGGAAUCCUCUAAAGACUGAGCAAAAGUGAACCAGCCAAAGAAGCCUGUGUUCUUAGCCCUGUGGGUUUCCCCAGGAGUCGUUUCACUCAGUGUCCCAGCUCAUUUUGCACAGUGUCCCGGAACUGUCACUGAAGCUUAAAUACUCCACAAGUGACUCCUGAUUCGGAAGGUCUGCUGGACUGAAAUGUGGUGCUAAUAACAAUGCUAAUUCGAUCCUGUAGCCUGGCUAUUAACUGCUAUUUCUGGGUGAAAUAUCCUUUAUUACUGUUAGAAACGCUGGUGACAAGGGUACUGUCACAGUGCUCAGACACCGAAGAAACUACCCUACUUGAAAACGGAUUUCAACUUUCAUGCCUGACUAUAGUAUUCCAUCCUCCUUGAGACAUCAAUAUAAGGAAUUUUCCUGUAAGUUUUGCAUAACAUAUUCUUCCCUGAGCCCUGACUCUUCCUAAAAAAGUUAUCUUAAAAACUAAAAGUGGCCCUAGAUUGUAGUUUCAAUGGCAAUGAUAAUGCAAUGUUAAAAGAAACAAACGAAAACCAAAGGUCAUUUGUCUAAUAGCCUAGGAAGAGAUAUUGAAAACAGAUGUAGGAAAUCUCAACUGUGACUUUUUGCUCUCUCAUGCUUGGUUUAAAGCAGCCUGCACAUUGCGUUUACUUUGCAUUUACAACUUUGGAUUCACCACUAAACUAUGUUUGAACUUCAAGUUCAGAUGCGACCUAAGUCAAGCCAUGUUCCCCGAGCCCUGCUCUGAAUUUUACUCGGCUACAGGGAAUCUUUUUACUACUACACUAUAUAUCUCGAUUGUGUUAACAAGCUGACUGUGGUGGACUUUCAGGUGAAAUGUCAGUCAGUGUAAAAGAAUGUGUUUGCCGUUCAAAUGUGUGACACUGUGUGUUGGAAAUAUGCAUACAACAUAUCCCCUGAUGAAGAUUCAAGUUAUAAGAUUAAUCCUUCGAAUAUUGCCAAACAUGAUCAAACUGUAAAAGAAUGCAAUAAAGACUGUCAGUACUUCACUUCUAUUUGUAGUUUCUUUAAAGAACUUUUAAAUGUAGAUUUUAUGUAUUGAUGAUGCAGUCUGGAAACCAUUGUCAUCUCAUAAUAUGAUGUGCACGGAUACAGUAUAUAAGAAAACACAGACAAAAUACGCUUGUAUUUUCUAAAAUAAUUCCCACUGGCCAAUGUUUUGCUUUUGUUUUUUUGACUAUUAUAGAUGGACCUCAUUGUAAACGAUGAUUUAAAAACCAUGACGGUAGAGCCUUGAUGACUCCUUUGUGUAUUUUCAGAAAUGAUUUAGCCAGGAUAAAGUUGCUGCUAUGAGAGGUUUAAUUAAUUACUUUUAGUUAAAUAUAUUUCUUUAAGGAUUGGAUUUGACAUUACUGAUGGCGGAGUAAAUGCAGUUUAAAAGUCAUUCUUCAUGGAAUGCUUUAACCAACAAUUGUUGGCAUUGAAUAGCGGUCAAUGUCUACCCCCUACAGGGAGAGAUUCUAAUUUCACUAUGCCUUCCUCAGAAUAUGAAUGCUAGAGCGUACAGUUCACACAUAUGAAUGCUGUAACAGUGUCAAUGAUUCUGACAAGUGCCCCUUAAUGAAAAGGUCAGCCCCAUGAUUAAUAGGAAGCCAAUUUCAAAGGCUGGAUCUCACUUCAGCACUGCAUUUAGGUUCCUGAUUUGAGAUCCUGUCCUGAUACUUCCCUCCGGGAUAGGCUGUACAUGAAUGGAUAAGGAAAACCUAUCUGUUCCAAGAUGUUUCUGAUGGUUAUCUUAACACAGCAAUAGAAAACAAACCAGGACACUAAGUAACAGAACAGCCUCAGUGAAUGAAAUAAGCACCCAGAAGAGUUCUGACAUUCACUUAGAGCGGGUGUGCUUCAUUGUCAAUGCUUCUUCAGUACAGGAAUUCCUCUGGACCCAUCCUCCACCCCAGGAUACUUUCCCUCUGGAAUGGUUCAUGAAGUUGUGGAGAGUGAGAAAAUUGAGAGACCCACGAAGCUCUGUGGCUGGACAUGAAGCUGUUUCAUGUGUGAAGCUAUUGUUCUCAGUGGCUUCUGCAGAGAUGAACAUUCGUCUUGCUUUAGGAAAAUCCAUCCAUAUAAUUAAUCAAGUGUCCAAUUGUGGGCCAGGGAGAGUUUGCCUUGGAUUACUGCUGGGUACCCAAAUCUUUUCACUAAACCAAACCUUGAAGCUUUGCCUAGACUCAGAAUGUUUACACUGACUUCAAAGUUACCACACUAAUUGAGCUGUUCUUGGGCUCCUUGAAUUGUUUUGUCCUGACUUUCAAUUCAUCAAGAGCUUGUUGUUUGAAAAGGGGCAUUGUGCAUUCCUCCUGAGUGUCUUGUUUAUUAGUGUUAUUGUUCGGGUGCAAUAGAAGGAGCUCAGAACGAUAUAUAUUCCAAUAUCCGCAAUGAUUCAUGCUCAUUUUGUUUAGAAUUGUACACAUUUUUAAAAGAAUGAAUUAUAGCUCUUUGGAAAGCUUUUAUUCUAAGGUUUAUUUAAAUAUCCUGUCUCACUCCGUGAAAUCUAGCCUGAGAUUGUCUUUUCAGGUUCUGGAUUUUAUAACAGGUCAUACCAAUGUGAUUUAUUUCAGAGAUUCCUGUUCCUGAUAUAGUUCAUACCUACUUCUAAUCCCAAUAAAAUGCUAAUCUUUCUGA